CCUACGGGAGGCAGCAGUGAGGAAUAUUGGUCAAUGGGCGCGAGCCUGAACCAGCCAAGUAGCGUGAAGGAUGACUGCCCUACGGGUUGUAAACUUCUUUUAUAAAGGAAUAAAGUGAGGCACGUGUGCCUUUUUGUACGUACUUUAUGAAUAAGGAUCGGCUAACUCCGUGCCAGCAGCCGCGGUAAUACGGAGGAUCCGAGCGUUAUCCGGAUUUAUUGGGUGUAAAGGGAGCGUAGAUGGGUUGAUAAGUCAGUUGUGAAAGUUUGCGGCUCAAACGUAAAAUUGCAUUUGAUACUGGGAGCCUUGAGUACAGUUGAGGUAGGCGGAAUUCGGGGUGUAGCGGGGAAAUGCUGAGAUAUCACGAAGAACUCCGAUUGCGAAGGCAGCUUACUAAACUGCCACUGACAUUGAUGCUCGAAAGUGUGGGUAUCAAACAGGAUUAGAUACCCGAGUAGUC
Molecule: ribosomal RNA, 460 nt
Filed under: uncultured bacterium
Lineage: Bacteria
Description: partial 16S ribosomal RNA
Rfam family: Bacterial small subunit ribosomal RNA
Source: RNAcentral